CCUACGGGGGGCUGCAGUCGAGGAUCAUUCGCAAUGCGCGAAAGCGUGACGGUGCGACGCCGCGUGCAGGAUGAAGGCCUUCGGGUCGUAAACUGCUGUCAUGAGGGAACAAUGUCCGGAAUGUUAACACCAUUUCGGGGUGAUAGUACCUCAAGAGGAAGCCACGGCUAACUCUGUGCCAGCAGCCGCGGUAAUACAGAGGCGGCGAGCGUUGUUCGGAUUUACUGGGCGUAAAGGGUGCGUAGGCGGUUUCGUGUGUCGGAUGUGAAAGCUCACAGCUCAACUGUGGAAUUGCAUUCGAAACUACGAGGCUGGAGUACAGGAGGGGAGAGCGGAAUUCUCGGUGUAGCGGUGAAAUGCGUAGAUAUCGAGAGGAACACCGGUGGCGAAGGCGGCUCUCUGGACUGAUACUGACGCUGAGGCACGAAAGCUGGGGGAGCAAACAGGCUUAGAUACCCCGGUAGUC
RNAcentral lists this ribosomal RNA (466 nucleotides) under uncultured bacterium. Its description in RNAcentral is "bacterial SSU rRNA". It matches the Rfam family "Bacterial small subunit ribosomal RNA", at positions 338 to 795 of the family's 1533-position model. The record is from RNAcentral.